This 763-nucleotide ribosomal RNA is filed under the name uncultured Maritalea sp. RNAcentral describes it as "bacterial SSU rRNA". It matches the Rfam family "Bacterial small subunit ribosomal RNA", at positions 56 to 869 of the family's 1533-position model. Lineage: Bacteria; Pseudomonadati; Pseudomonadota; Alphaproteobacteria; Hyphomicrobiales; Devosiaceae. The record is from RNAcentral.
UGCAGUCGAACGCACCGCAAGGUGAGUGGCGCACGGGUGAGUAACGCGUGGGAAUGUACCGUUUAGUACGGAAUAGCUUUCGGGAAACUGAAAUUAAUACCGUAUACGCCCUUCGGGGGAAAGAUUUAUCGCUAAACGAUCAGCCCGCGUGAGAUUAGGUAGUUGGUGGGGUAAUGGCCUACCAAGCCUACGAUCUCUAGCUGGUCUGAGAGGAUGAUCAGCCACACUGGAACUGAGACACGGUCCAGACUCCUACGGGAGGCAGCAGUGGGGAAUAUUGGACAAUGGGGGCAACCCUGAUCCAGCCAUGCCGCGUGAAUGAUGAAGGCCUUAGGGUUGUAAAGUUCUUUUACCGAUGAAGAUAAUGACGGUAGUCGGAGAAAAAGCCCCGGCUAACUUCGUGCCAGCAGCCGCGGUAAUACGAAGGGGGCUAGCGUUGUUCGGAUUUACUGGGCGUAAAGCGCACGUAGGUGGUGCCGCAAGUCAGGGGUGAAAUCCCAGAGCUCAACUCUGGAACUGCCUUUGAAACUGCGGUGCUGGAAUCUCAGAGGGGGUGGCGGAAUUGCUAAUGUAGGGGUGAAAUCCGUAGAUAUUAGCAGGAACACCGAUGGCGAAGGCAGCCACCUGGAUGAGUAUUGACACUGAGGUGCGAAAGCGUGGGGAUCAAACAGGAUUAGAUACCCUGGUAGUCCACGCUGUAAACGAUGAAUGCUAGUUGUUGGGAGCUUAGCUCUCAGUGACGAAGCUAACGCAUUAAGCAUUC